UGAACCUUUAAAUCAGUCCCGAGAGGCUGGCAAGGUAUCGUUCGUAACGAGAAGAUUCGUGAUGCGAGAGAACGGGGGAGUGUGUCUGCCUGUGAGCAGAGUACUCUUCAUCAUCAUGUAUCUUACUGGAUGUCGCAGCCUUCUACGCUGUCAUCGAGCAAUGAACUCCUUGCCUGAGGGCAAGGAGUUUUUUUGU
Regulatory RNA element from Paenibacillus popilliae ATCC 14706, 196 nucleotides. It matches the Rfam family "PyrR binding site". Rfam says of the family: This family represents the PyrR binding site and terminator structure. This RNA structure is found upstream of a variety of genes involved in pyrimidine biosynthesis and transport. NCBI's taxonomy places the organism in Bacteria, Bacillati, Bacillota, Bacilli, Caryophanales, Paenibacillaceae. The record is from Rfam.